RNAcentral lists this ribosomal RNA (278 nucleotides) under uncultured bacterium. RNAcentral describes it as "partial 16S ribosomal RNA". It matches the Rfam family "Bacterial small subunit ribosomal RNA", at positions 28 to 306 of the family's 1533-position model. The record is from RNAcentral.
GACGAACGCUGGCGGCGUGCUUAACACAUGCAAGUCGAGCGGUAAGGCCCUUUCGGGGGUACGACGAGCGGCGAACGGGUGAGUAACACGUGGGUGACCUGCCCUCAGCUCUGGGAUAAGCCUGGGAAACUGGGUCUAAUACUGGAUAUGACUCCACGGUGCAUGUCGUGGGGUGGAAAGCCUUGUGCGGCUGAGGAUGGGCCCGCGGCCUAUCAGCUUGUUGGUGGGGUGAUGGCCUACCAAGGCGACGACGGGUAGCCGGCCUGAGAGGGCGACCG